AGAACGAACGCUGGCGGCAGGCCUAACACAUGCAAGUCGAACGCAACUUCGGUUGAGUGGCGCACGGGUGAGUAACGCGUGGGAACCUGUCCUGUGGUACGGAAUAACAUCGGGAAACUGGUGCUAAUACCGUAUAUCCCCUGAGGGGGAAAGAUUUAUCGCCAUAGGAGGGGCCCGCGUAGGAUUAGCUAGUUGGUGAGGUAACGGCUCACCAAGGCGACGAUCCUUAGCUGGUCUGAGAGGAUGAUCAGCCACACUGGGACUGAGAUACGGCCCAGACUCCUACGGGAGGCAGCAGUGGGGAAUAUUGGACAAUGGGCGAAAGCCUGAUCCAGCCAUGCCGCGUGUGUGAUGAAGGCCUUCGGGUUGUAAAGCACUUUCGCACGUGACGAUGAUGACGGUAACGUGAGAAGAAGCCCGGCUAACUUCGCGCCAGCAGCCGC
Molecule: ribosomal RNA, 443 nt
Filed under: uncultured bacterium
Lineage: Bacteria
Description: SSU rRNA
Rfam family: Bacterial small subunit ribosomal RNA
Source: RNAcentral